UUGUAAACGAGGUGGUAA
Molecule: non-coding RNA, 18 nt
Filed under: Arabidopsis thaliana (thale cress)
Lineage: Eukaryota; Viridiplantae; Streptophyta; Magnoliopsida; Brassicales; Brassicaceae
Source: RNAcentral